GAUGAACGCUAGCUACAGGCUUAACACAUGCAAGUCGAGGGGAAACGACAUCGAAAGCUUGCUUUUGAUGGGCGUCGACCGGCGCACGGGUGAGUAACGCGUAUCCAACCUGCCCACCACUUGGGGAUAACCUUGCGAAAGUAAGACUAAUACCCAAUGACGUCUCUAGAAGACAUCUGAAAGAGAUUAAAGAUUUAUCGGUGAUGGAUGGGGAUGCGUCUGAUUAGCUUGUUGGCGGGGUAACGGCCCACCAAGGCAACGAUCAGUAGGGGUUCUGAGAGGAAGGUCCCCCANAUUGGAACUGAGACACGGUUCAAACUCCUACGGGAGGCAGCAGUGAGGAAUAUUGGUCAAUGGGCGGAAGCCUGAACCAGCCAAGUAGCGUGAGGGAUGACUGCCCUAUGGGUUGUAAACCUCUUUUAUAAGGGAAUAAAAUACGGGACGUGUCCUGUUUUGCAUGUACCUUAUGAAUAAGGACCGGCUAAUUCCGUG
Molecule: ribosomal RNA, 492 nt
Filed under: uncultured bacterium
Lineage: Bacteria
Description: bacterial SSU rRNA
Rfam family: Bacterial small subunit ribosomal RNA
Source: RNAcentral